UCGUGCUAGACGGGGAGCUAGCGGUGCCCUGUAACCCGAAAUCCGCUCAUGCGGGGUUGAACGUCCUUCGGAAAAACCAUGAAGCGAGUUGCUCUGCCGCUGUCCCGGAACGGGGAUGGACCUCACGUGACGAACCUCCGGGAACCCCGUCAGGUCCGGAAGGAAGCAGCGGUAACCGGGAAGGCCCGUGUCGUGACGGGAUCUAUCCCUUUCUUCCGGGCAGAGGGGACUUCCCGCUCAUGGUCUGACCGGGGAUGCACGG
Molecule: signal recognition particle RNA, 262 nt
Filed under: Deltaproteobacteria bacterium
Lineage: Bacteria; Pseudomonadati; Myxococcota; Myxococcia
Description: signal recognition particle sRNA large type
Rfam family: Bacterial large signal recognition particle RNA
About the family: The signal recognition particle (SRP) is a universally conserved ribonucleoprotein involved in the co-translational targeting of proteins to membranes. Archaeal SRP consists of a 7S RNA and homologues of the eukaryotic SRP19 and SRP54 proteins.
Source: RNAcentral